Passer montanus (Eurasian tree sparrow) is the source of this 758-nucleotide long non-coding RNA. RefSeq lists it as uncharacterized. The transcript is spliced from 5 exons. Lineage: Eukaryota; Metazoa; Chordata; Aves; Passeriformes; Passeridae. The record is from RefSeq and is a predicted model, not a curated record.
GCAGCUUUUUAGGGAAGCAGAUGAAGUAUUUAGUGUUUCAUCCUGUUACUUGAAGCUGUCAGCCCAUGCUGAAUUUCUUGGUUGAUGUGAGCCUCUAACCUGUGCCCUGAGGUUUCUGGAAAGAAUAUUUGCAGUACCCCUGGACUGUUAAAGGAUAUGCCUGAUCCUGGAACCUCUUCUCUCACAUAUGGGAGCUUCAAAGAGGAAGGUGUAUGACCAUAUAGAAGCCUUGUGACCAGCUGAAUUAUUAGACAGCACACCACAAAAACCUUGUUCAUCAUCUCUCUAGAGGCAGAAAUUUGCUUUAUGACAAAACCUUCCUUAGGAAGAGGACACAUUACCCUUGGAGCAAGAGAAAACAUAUACUGAAGUGAAAGCAUGUCAAAGAAACCUGUGGGUGAAGAGGGAGAGAGGAGAGGAAGAUGAUAAAUUGAGCUGGACAGCAGCUGGCCUUUGAGAAGCUGCAAGGACUGCCAGUGAGAGAGGGAAGAAGCCAGCCCACCCCCAGGCCAUGGUGCGUCAGUGCCGUGCAUCACCAAUGGCAGCAUCACCCACACACACGGAAUGAUGACAGCCCAACAGAGGUGAGAGUCACCUCGUUCCUCUGUCGUGCUGUUGGAAGACAUGCUAACAACACAGAGGAGCAGAUUUUUGAGGAAAUAGUUCUGGUAAAGUUUCUUCAGAGAACUAGAUGUGGACCGAAAAUGAUUGUGUGGCCUUUUUGUUUGACAUCAUUUUGUUUGGCUUUUAAAGUACAU